GACGAACGCUGGCGGCGUGCUUAACACAUGCAAGUCGAACGGAAAGGCCCUGCUUUUGUGGGGUGCUCGAGUGGCGAACGGGUGAGUAACACGUGAGUAACCUGCCCUUGACUUUGGGAUAACUUCAGGAAACUGGGGCUAAUACCGGAUAGGAGCUCCUGCUGCAUGGUGGGGGUUGGAAAGUUUCGGCGGUUGGGGAUGGACUCGCGGCUUAUCAGCUUGUUGGUGGGGUAGUGGCUUACCAAGGCUUUGACGGGUAGCCGGCCUGAGAGGGUGACCGGCCACAUUGGAACUGAGAUACGGCCCAGACUCCUACGGGAGGCAGCAGUGGGGAAUAUUGCAAAAUGGGCGGAAGCCUGAUGCAGCAACGCCGCGUGCGGGAUGACGGCCUUCGGGUUGUAAACCGCUUUCGCCUGUGACGAAGCGUGAGUGACGGUAAUGGGUAAAGAAGCACCGGCUAACUACGUG
Molecule: ribosomal RNA, 468 nt
Filed under: uncultured bacterium
Lineage: Bacteria
Description: partial 16S ribosomal RNA
Rfam family: Bacterial small subunit ribosomal RNA
Source: RNAcentral